UGCGCAGGUGGUUUUGUAAGUCAGAUGUGAAAGCCCCGGGCUCAACCUGGGAACUGCGUUUGAAACUACAAGACUAGAGUGUGGCAGAGGGGGGUGGAAUUCCGCGUGUAGCAGUGAAAUGCGUAGAGAUGUGGAGGAACACCGAUGGCGAAGGCAGCCCCCUGGGUUAACACUGACGCUCACGCACGAAAGCAUGGGGAGCAAACAGGAUUAGAUACCCUGGUAGUCC
RNAcentral lists this ribosomal RNA (229 nucleotides) under uncultured bacterium. Its description in RNAcentral is "partial 16S ribosomal RNA". It matches the Rfam family "Bacterial small subunit ribosomal RNA", at positions 568 to 796 of the family's 1533-position model. The record is from RNAcentral.